CAGCCGCCACGGGAAUACGUAGGGUCCGAGCGUUGUCCGGAAUUAUUGGGCGUAAAGGGCUCGUAGGCGGUUUGUUGCGUCGGGAGUGAAAACCCAGGGCUUAACUUUGGGCUUGCUUUCGAUACGGGCAGACUUGAGGCAUUGAGGGGAGAACGGAAUUCCUGGUGUAGCGGUGAAAUGCGCAGAUAUCAGGAGGAACACCGGUGGCGAAGGCGGUUCUCUGGCAAUGUUCUGACGCUGAGGAGCGAAAGUGUGGGGAGCGAACAGGAUUAGAUACCCCAGUAGUCCCUGUCUCUUAUAC
This 301-nucleotide ribosomal RNA is filed under the name uncultured bacterium. Its description in RNAcentral is "partial 16S ribosomal RNA". It matches the Rfam family "Bacterial small subunit ribosomal RNA", at positions 509 to 807 of the family's 1533-position model. The record is from RNAcentral.